RNAcentral lists this long non-coding RNA (689 nucleotides) under Elaeis guineensis (African oil palm). Its description in RNAcentral is "long non-coding RNA (EGUI_LNC043203)". Lineage: Eukaryota; Viridiplantae; Streptophyta; Magnoliopsida; Arecales; Arecaceae. The record is from RNAcentral.
CUGGCUGGCUGACAGUAAAAUGAGCAUGUUUGUAACUUGGUCCAAUUUACCAACCAAGUCUGAGGAUGCUCCUACAUCAUUGCCACUCAAAUUUGACUCGAAAAAAAUAUUCGAGCUACUCAAGAUUGACUCUAACUCGAUAAUAAUCAAGUCAAAUCGAGCUUAAGUAGCUUGUGAGCAAUUCAACUCAUUUUCACCUCUAGCUCUUGACCUACUAUCAGCGAUAGGGUGAUGACUCCUUAGAUUGGAACAAUGUCCCUAAUGAGGAUAACAAGGGGAGAGUCAAGCUUUCACAGCUGAUUCAAGGAUAACCUAAAUCAAAAGAAAGCAUCAUAAAAUAAAAUAUCAACUGAGCUUUCAUUAUCCACUAAAAUGUAGCAUACAGCAUAAUUUUCAAUAAUUAAAGAUACAACAACUGCAUCAUCAUAUGGGGAUUGGACUCCUUGCAAAUCUUUAUCAGAAAAGGAGAUAGUGCCCUCAAUCUUUUGCUUAAUCACUAUUUCUUGUUUUCCACAUCCUCUUUUAGCGGUCAGACUAUAGAGCUGACCUCUCGUGAUGGUAUUGCUAGUGCUAGCAAUGGGUCAGUUCUCCUAACCUCUUCCAAGCUGUUGAGGUUCUAGUUAGACUUCUUUGCACUCACUCUAAUUAUUGACAUAUCACCCGAGCUAGGCAUGUCAGAUGAGAGCCCC